Oryctolagus cuniculus (rabbit) is the source of this 3950-nucleotide non-coding RNA. NCBI's taxonomy places the organism in Eukaryota, Metazoa, Chordata, Mammalia, Lagomorpha, Leporidae. The record is from RefSeq and is a predicted model, not a curated record.
UUCAGCCAAUAAACUGUAGGACUUGCUCCUGAUUGGAGGAGAGCAGCGUACUCGGCGUGUGGGCAGCCGAGUUGGGAUUGGCAGAGGAGGACUAUAAAGGAGGAGAGAGACGGCAUGCACCAGGAACAUCUAAGGGGAACAUCUAUCUGAAGGAACACCUGUGCAGCCCCCGAGAGAGCCGGCGGGCGGUGUGCCGCUCCCCCGCGGAAGUGGGGAAAGUGGCCAGGGGGAACCGCCCUUCCACGGAGGUGGAAGGGACAGUAGCCAACCCGGGAAGAACCAGCAGCAAACCCGGGGAGGGCCGAGCAGACGAAAGAACAGCGCAGGGUCCUGUGUCGUUCCUCCACGAAGACGGGGAGCGACAUAAUGGUGCCGUGACUCGGAUAUGAAGCCUAGGCAGGGUUUAGUGUCGUUCCUCCAUGAAGAGGGGGAGCGACAUAAUGGUGCCGUGACUCGGAUAUGAAGCCUAGGCAGGGUUUAGUGUUGUUCCUCCACGAAGAGGGGGAGCGACACGCUGUCAUAUAGAAAAUCAAAACACAGCUGACAGACGGGGACAGGCUGCAAAUGUGGCAACAGACAAGGGGCCACUUCUCUUUCUAUGAAGGGUUCCUGUAAAUUUCUAAGAUAAUCAUGUGGAAAUUUGCACACACAUGUGUGCAGUGACUUUUGAAAAUAUAUAAAAUAGGCCGCCACCAAGAGCAGUGCCAAGAAAAAAAAAAAAGCUCCAUAAAGCAUCCCAGGAAGACUGACUAGCACGGACAUUCCCGUACCUGCGAGGGGUACCCUUUCCCGCCCUGUGUCCUUGCCCCAGUAAAAACAUCACAAAAUGCUAAAAAAAAAAAAAAUAUGUAAAAUACUCAGUCUCCUAAUCAGAGAGGCCCAAGUUAAGACAACAAGUCCAAGUCGCCUUUUGCCUCGACGUUCUCCGGAAAGCAAGAUGGGCCACGCAGCUCCCAAGGAGCCACCUGCGAAAAUCCAGCCGGGAUUCUCUCUUUCACUGGGUCUGCUCAAGCACGCACGGUCACGUCCAGAGACAGGACCACAGCCUGUGCUGGGUGUCAGUUUCAUUAAGUGGGACCAAGGGAUUUUCCUUGAAUGGAUUCUCCAGGCAUCAGAGCUAUGGAGAAUCAUGCCAGCAUUUUGUACAUAGAACAAAAAAAUUAAAACCACAAAAACAAGCUAAUAUUGCAAGUUAUGCCCAUGAAUGGGCACCCAUAUGGGAUGCCAGUGCCACAGGCUUAGCCCAUUACACCACGGCGCCAGCCCCACCUUUUGAAUUUUGGUCUAUGUGAAUAAGGGACUAAGAGAGAAAGUUGUUCCUGAGCAAUGAGAAUCUUGCGGUGACCAAUAUCUGAAAAUGAAUCUAGAAGCAACUUUGGAUCUGGAUAACGUGUAAAAGCCAGCCAAAUAGGGAAAGGUUCGACUGCCACGAAUGGGGACAGCAGGUGAAUCUAGGGAGGACUCAGAAGAAGAGAACUGGAGUGGAAGUCGGGAGCUUCCUCAAGAUUGGGUAGGCAGCGGUGAUGAGGACGCUGUUGGAAACGUGGCUGGGAACGAAGGCCCUACUGCUGGGGUCUUGGGACCAAGCAGCAAGAUUUUGGAAAUGGGAGGAAAAGGCAUCCUUGCUCCACAGUUGAGAGAACUCAGUGGCCCCGGGUCGAUGCUCUAGGGCUUCAUGGAGGUCAGACCGUGAGAGUGGUGAUCUAACAUACGGAGGCUGCUGGGGUCCGCGGGGGACCCAGAUGCUGCUCGGGCAGCCACCUGGAGGCCCCAAGCGGUGGGCCUUGGUGGCACACCAUGAUAUCAGAGGGUGUGGCAGACAGCCUGGAGGCCCAGACAAAAACUUGGUGCAAGGGCACAGAGUCCAUGGCAGGGCGGCGUCGAGUGGAGCCGUGGGAACAAGGCCACCCCAGUGUCCCCGGUAGAAUUCCUAGUGGCGCCGUGGGGGCAGGACUGCCUCUGGGACCCCAGCCCUGCAGAUUUACCAUCGUACAUCUGCAGCCUGGGAGAGCUGCAGGCAUGAGAGGCCAACUUCCGGGAGACAGCUAGGCGGGCUGAGCCCUGCCAGGCUACAAAGCUUGGGCUGCCUGAGGCCAUGGAGGGCAGAGGGGGCAAACCCUUCAGUGUGGCCAGGAUGGGAGAAUGUGGAGUCUUCUCAGCUUUCCCACUUGAUGUUGUUUGCCCUGUUGAGUUCCAGACUUAACUUGGCACCAGCUACGCUUUCUUCUUGUCUAUUUCUUCUUUACGGGGUGAGAAUGUCUAGCCCGUGUGUCCCCCGGUCAUCUUGGGAGGCAUGUAACUUGUUAACUUCACAGGCUUGCCAUGAAAGAGAAUGUACCCCUGGGUGAAUUGUGUCCCGAGUCUCACCCUGGUCCCAUUCAGAUGAGACUCUGGGCUUCGGAGUUGGUGCUGGACUGAAUUAAGGCUUUCUGGCCACUGGGACGGGAUGAAUGUGUUUUGUUGGUGACAGAGGGCAUGCAUUGGCCAGCCAAGGCAGAACGCUAGGGUCCAAAUCUGUCCCCCCAAGUUCAUGUGUUGGGAACUUAAUUAACCCCAGGGCAACAGUGUUGCGAGAUGGAACCUUAAGAAGUGGUUAGGUCAUAAGGGCUCUGACCUCAUGAGUGGCUUCUUGUCUUUGCUGGGAGAGUGGGUUCGUCAUUGUGAGAGCUUUGUGGUAAACACAAGUUUGGCCCCUGCCCCAGUCUUCUCCCUUCUGCCAUGGGAUGACACAGCAAGCUCUUUGCCAGAGGGGCUCCCACUGAUCGUGGCCUCCCCAGCCUCUAGGACUAUUAGAAUUAGAUCCACAUUCUAGAUCACCAGUCUGCGGGACCCUGUUAUGGUAGCACCCAACGAACCAAGAGGCUCCCAACCCAACCUUUGAUUCCCACCCCUAUCAUUAGUAUUACCUUUUUCAUUUCCCUGCAUGUUUAUUUUUUCAGGUGAAAUUCAGAAUCAUUUUGUCAAGUUCCUCUUAAAAUCUUGUUGCUGUUUCACCCCAAAUCACAUUAAAUGCAUGGGCUAAUUGAUGGGGAAACCAUAUUUUUUCAAUACUGAGGCUUCUUAUUCUCUUAUCCAAGACACAGUGUAUUGUUCUGCUGUUUCCAAGGGUUCUUCCAUGUUCCUAUUUCCAUACCCCCAUACACUUGACCUAGCUCUAGUAAAGUCUACCAUGGGCAUUUGAUCGUACAUUGCUACUGUCAGUGGGAUUGUCUCCUACCCCCAGUUUAGUUUUAAUUGAUAUUUCUGCAUAGGAAAAAGUCUGGGUUCUUUUCAUAUUAGUUCUACAAUUAAUCACUUGCUGAAAAUCUGAGUUUUCCACUGUAUUCCUUCAUUUUCCAGAUACUUAUCAUCCGCAGAUAAUCUGACCUCCCCCCUUCCCAGUGCUGUCCCUCGUGGCUUUCCCUGGCUAAUCACAUUGGCUUCGUGUUGCCAAUAACGCUAAAUAAUCGCAAUACAAAGGGGAUGCGGCUUUCCCAGUAGUUUUAGCCUCCAUUGGAAAAUCUGUACCAAUGGACUUGUGCAAGUGACCCACAGAUCGACACUGCGGGACAUCGCUGGCUUGUGUGAGAAACUUUUACCAGCUCCGAAAGGCUGCUGAUUUUUAUGAUCCUGAAAGAACUCGAGGUCUGCAUCAGAAGCCAGAGCUGGGUCUCACAGCCGGGUACUCGGGGUCGUCUUCAACCACAGGCUCGUCGCCUACCCUAGAGCAAGAAGACACAACACUCAGGCCUUCUCUCCUCCCCUCCUGGGUCACAGGAGCAAGACAGUGUUCAAGGACAUUUAAACCAAGCCAGAGGUGGUUGAAAAUGUAUUUAUUUUUCUUCAAACAAUCUUUAUCAAGCAAUAAAUAAAAACAGACAUGUUGACUUUUCUAAAAAAAAAAAAAUGCCGUAGACUAUAUACAUCCUACAGAAGUACAGGCAUCUCAAAUGUAGAAAUGACAUCACUCC